This 822-nucleotide ribosomal RNA is filed under the name uncultured bacterium. RNAcentral describes it as "bacterial SSU rRNA". It matches the Rfam family "Bacterial small subunit ribosomal RNA", at positions 612 to 1431 of the family's 1533-position model. The record is from RNAcentral.
ANCCCCGUGAUGGGAUGGAAACUGCUGACCUAGAGUAUNGGAGAGGAAAGUGGAAUUCCUAGUGUAGCGGUGAAAUGCGUAGAUAUUAGGAAGAACACCAGUGGCGAAGGCGACUUUCUGGACGAAAACUGACGCUGAGGCGCGAAAGCCAGGGGAGCGAACGGGAUUAGAUACCCCGGUAGUCCUGNCCGUAAACGAUGGGUACUAGGUGUAGGAGGUAUCGACCCCUUCUGUGCCGGAGUUAACGCAAAAAGUACCCCGCCUGGGGAGUACGACCGCAAGGUUGAAACUCAAAGGAAUUGACGGGGGCCCGCACAAGCGGUGGAGUAUGUGGUUUAAUUCGACGCAACGCGAAGAACCUUACCAGGUCUUGACAUUGAUGGACAGAACCAGAGAUGGUUCCUCUUCUUCGGAAGCCAGAAAACAGGUGGUGCACGGUUGUCGUCAGCUCGUGUCGUGAGAUGUUGGGUUAAGUCCCGCAACGAGCGCAACCCCUAUCUUAUGUUGCCAGCACGUAAUGGUGGGAACUCAUGAGAGACUGCCGCAGACAAUGCGGAGGAAGGCGGGGAUGACGUCAAAUCAUCGUGCCCCUUAUGACCUGGGCUACACACGUACUACAAUGGGAGUUAAUAGACGGAAGCGAGAUCGCGAGAUGGAGCAAACCCGAGAAACACUCUCUCAGUUCGGAUCGUAGGCUGCAACUCGCCUACGUGAAGUCGGAAUCGCUAGUAAUCGCAGGUCAGCAUACUGCGGUGAAUACGUUCCCGGGCCUUGUACACACCGCCCGUCACACCACGAAAGUCGGAAGUGCCCAAAGCCGGU